RNAcentral lists this unclassified non-coding RNA (380 nucleotides) under uncultured bacterium. Its description in RNAcentral is "contains 16S-23S intergenic spacer region". The record is from RNAcentral.
UCCGGUUUGUCACCGGCAGUCUCAUUAGAGUGCCCAACUGAAUGUAGCAACUAAUGACAAGGGUUGCGCUCGUUGCGGGACUUAACCCAACAUCUCACGACACGAGCUGACGACAGCCAUGCAGCACCUGUGUUCCCGCCAGCCUAACUGAAGGAUCUCAUCUCUGAAAUCCAUACGGGACAUGUCAAGGGCUGGUAAGGUUCUGCGCGUUGCUUCGAAUUGAACCACAUGCUCCACCGCUUGUGCGGGCCCCCGUCAAUUCCUUUGAGUUUCAGCCUUGUGACCGUACUCCCCAGGCGGGGCACUUAAUGCGUUAGCUUCGGCACUGCGGGGGUCGAUACCCGCAACACCAAGUGCCCAUCGUUUACAGCGUGGACUAC